AGCCUGCCCAGUGACAAAGUUCAACGGCCGCGGUACCCUAACCGUGCGAAGGUAGCAUAAUCACUUGUUCUCUAAAUAAGGACUUGUAUCAACGGCACUACGAGGGUUAUACUGUCUCCUUUUUCCAAUCAGUGAAACUGAUCUCCCCGUGAAGAAGCGGGGAUCAAAAUAUAAGACGAGAAGACCCCAUGGAGCUUUAAACUCACUGUACACCUCUAUGUUCCUAUAUCCUUAUAACACAAGAAACCUGUACAUUAGUUUUAGGUUGGGGGGACCACGGAGUACAACUUAACCUCCAUAACAAAUGGGCUGACACCCUUAUCCACGAGACACAACUCUAAGAAUUAAUAGACUAAUGCUUAUGACCCGAUAUUCGAUCAAUGAACCAAGUUACCCUGGGGAUAACAGCGCAAUCUACUUCAAGAGCCCAUAUCGACAAGUAGGUUUACGACCUCGAUGUUGGAUCAGGGUAUCCCGGUGGUGCAACCGCUACCAAUGGUUCGUUUGUUCAACGAUCAAAACCCUACGU
This 529-nucleotide ribosomal RNA is filed under the name Rana amurensis. Its description in RNAcentral is "partial 16S ribosomal RNA". It matches the Rfam family "Bacterial large subunit ribosomal RNA", at positions 1856 to 2601 of the family's 2925-position model. Lineage: Eukaryota; Metazoa; Chordata; Amphibia; Anura; Ranidae. The record is from RNAcentral.